GGACACAGGCGGUGUCAGUGGCACCUUCCCCUUAACCACGUCUCCACCAGGCACCCCACGGUGCCUUACAGUUACUCGGUGGACGCCGAGAUUGCUUGCAUGUACCUGGGUCCAGUAGUUCGGUCCCUUCCAGAAGGAGUUUACAGCGAAAUCACCAUAGAUGGCAAACACCUGAAUAUUCUGUUAAUUGCAGAAAAUUCCCACCUUCUGGACAUUUCUGUCGCUGCCUUGCUGCACCAGCUCUCCACAGUGUUUCCGGUCUAUGAGGAUUUCCAGGCUUAGAUUCUGGACAAACUUCAGCUAGAAAAGAGGAUUUGGUUUUCUUCCUCUAUCCUCCAUCCCUAGGUAGUCC
This 352-nucleotide long non-coding RNA is filed under the name Fukomys damarensis (Damara mole-rat). Its description in RNAcentral is "lncRNA (ENSFDAG00000029946.1)". The record is from RNAcentral. Lineage: Eukaryota; Metazoa; Chordata; Mammalia; Rodentia; Bathyergidae.